AGAGUUUGAUCCUGGCUCAGGAUGAACGCUGGCGGCGUGCCUAAUACAUGCAAGUCGAACGAAGAUCUAGCUUGCUAGAUCUUAGUGGCGAACGGGUGAGUAAUACAUAAAUAAUCUGCCCAUUGGACUGGGAUAACUAUUGGAAACGAUAGCUAAUACCGGAUAGGUGAUUUGAAGGCAUCUUCGAAUCAUUAAAGUAGGGUCACUACACCAAUGGAUGAGUUUAUGGCGCAUUAGUUAGUUGGCGGGGUAACGGCCCACCAAGACGAUGAUGCGUAGCCGACCUGAGAGGGUGACCGGCCACACUGGGACUGAGACACGGCCCAGACUCCUACGGGACGCAGCAG
This 347-nucleotide ribosomal RNA is filed under the name uncultured bacterium. RNAcentral describes it as "bacterial SSU rRNA". It matches the Rfam family "Bacterial small subunit ribosomal RNA", at positions 8 to 354 of the family's 1533-position model. The record is from RNAcentral.